Myotis myotis is the source of this 1616-nucleotide long non-coding RNA. RefSeq lists it as uncharacterized. The record is from RefSeq and is a predicted model, not a curated record. Lineage: Eukaryota; Metazoa; Chordata; Mammalia; Chiroptera; Vespertilionidae. The transcript is spliced from 2 exons.
GGAAAAACUAGAGGAGAAGGAAAUGAAAACACACCUGGCCUUAGGUUAAUCAGUGAUUCACUAACCUCCUUCAUGCUAUGUGCUCAAAUAUCUUGAAUGAAUAAAGGAAUGGAUGAUGGCAACUCUACCCCUCCAGUUCUUGAAAAGCUUGAAGAUUCUUAAUUUUCUUUUCUUUAUACCAAGUGCCCUGUUGGCUGCUCCUAGAAAAUAUACCCAGAAUCCAACCACCUUACUGCUACCCUAAUGGCACCAUGCCACCAUCGUUUCUACCCAGACUCCCACAACACCUGCUUCCUGGUCUCCCUGCUUGCACCCUGGUCCCACCACAAUCUAAGCUCAUUUCAGUGAUGUCAGAUCACGUCACUCCUCUGUACAACUCUCCAGUGCUCCCCUCACAGACUAAAUGCCAAAGGCCAUAUGAUCUAGCCCCCAUUACUGCUCUGCCUCCCCCUUCUCCUGCUUCCCCGCUGCUGCUCCUCCAGUAUGCCAGGUGUGCUCCCACCCCAGGAUCGGGCUGUUGCUGGUCCCAGGGAUCUGUAAGGCUCAUUCCCUUGCCUCUUUCAAUUCUUUACUCAAACGCCAACUUCUCAAUGACGCUACCUCUAACCACCCUAUUGAAUACUACAACCCUUUCCCCCUUCCCACACUCACUAACUUCUUUCACUGCUUCAUUUUUCUCCAUUGCACUCAUCACAUUCUAAUACCAGGUAACAUAUAAUUCGUUGUCUAUGUCUCCCUAGAACAGGGGUGGGGAACCUUUUUACUGCCAAGAGCCACUUGGAUAUUCAUAACAUCAUUCUCGGGCCACACAAAAUUAUUAACUUAAAAAUUAGCCUGCUAUAUUUGGUCAAACAUUCACUUGACUCACCCUAUUGCCUUGGCAGGGCCAGACCAAAUGAUUUUGUGGACAUUACACGGCCUGUGGACCAGACGUUUUCCACCCCUGCCCUAGCAUAUCAUCUUACAGGAAACAAUAAUCUAAACUGAUUAUGCUGAGCCUUACAUCUACAUGGGAUUUAGCAGGAGGCAUCAGAAGAGUGGGCGCCAAGGAAAGCCAGAGCGCUGCCUCACAGCCAGAAUUCAAACCUCCGAUAACGACCAAAUGUGACGUGGAUGUUUACAUACUCAGCCUGGGGCACAGCAGGGCCUCAGACACAUGGCAAACUGUUCUGUCUCUGGUCCCGACAGCUCACAAGAACCAGCACCCACAGGCUGGGUCUGAGUGAGCAGGAGUCACGCCGGAGAGACUUGGGCCACACGGUAUCUGCUAGGUCAGUUUCCCCGCCGACAGAAAAAGAAAAGUAAUUCUUGACUUGUCUAUCUAAAAGGAUUCCUUGAAGCACUGAAUGGGUACGAUGACCGUAAAAGUGCUUUGCAAACCAUUACACACUGCGAAGAUAUAUAAGGAACCCGACGGUUCUCAGUGACUUGCGUUCUGAGACACAACUUGAGGGGCGAAAGCAUCGGGCCAAACAGUCCAACAGUGCUCCCCACCCCCGGUCCCACAGGCGGCCGGGCAGGCUCUAUCACCUUGGGCAGAAACACAGUUUCUCAGUUUCAUUUGUUAGGAGAAUUUCUCCUCUGUCUUCUUGACCAAAAAAAAAGAGCAGAAAGCA